Long non-coding RNA from Cloeon dipterum, 417 nucleotides. RefSeq lists it as uncharacterized. Lineage: Eukaryota; Metazoa; Arthropoda; Insecta; Ephemeroptera; Baetidae. The record is from RefSeq and is a predicted model, not a curated record. The transcript has 3 exons.
UUGAUACAUUCACGAACGGAAUAACCAACAUUUCACUCCGCGCAGAUCGUUCUCGAGAAAUGUAAACUCGGCACAGUCUCCCUGCUAGUUAAGCUGCGGUAUCAGCAGCCGAACAUCUGGAGGUUAUAGGCGGCGGCAGUUGAGAGGAGGUGCCUCACCCUCGGGGUCUGCAGGUUGCUCCAGCGCCAGACACGGCUCGCGAUGUCAGGUGAGGACAAUAAAGAGGCGGCUUUGCCAAAGAGCACGACGCAGGCAUCGUUAUUGCGAUAAAACGCGAUUAAAGUUGCAGGCCCGAGGAAAGAGAUGCUGGCGAAAGCGGCGUGGGAGACGGCCCUGUAUGAGCGACAGCGCUUCGUACCAUUCCCACCGCACCAACAUGAGUAUGUGACCGAGUACAGACGUCAGUUCAACCCUCGG